AUUUUCUAGACGGCAGCAACAGCAGCAGCAGUCGUAAAUGCGUGAGUGCGUGACCGCGGACGGACGUUGCUAGAAGUGCGUUCAAUCGAAAGUGUCCAUUAAAACGGUAUUCACAGCAAACGUUUUGUGGAUACAAACAGUUCUUCAUGUAAAAACGUGCAGAAAACAGAAUUCAAAGCUAUGUGAAGGGUAAUGGUAUCAUAUACAUACAUACACACCAUAAGUGAGUGUAUUCUCGUGCGUGACGGGCGAAAAAGUGCAUAGUGUGUCCGGCUUGUGUGCGUGUGUGCAUGGUGGGUCUGUUUGUGGGCCGAAGUUUUUGAUAGAAAAUGAUGCCUUUUCAGUGCUGGAAAAUUGAGCUACCAAUAAUACGUACGAAAACAGCUCUCCAUCCGUGACGCGUCGUGCUGCACCGUGGUGGAUUUAGCGCCCUUUUUUCCUCAGUGAGCGCUUUUUUGUUGUUGUAUCCAGUUUGCUUCGUGCUGCGCGGCUUCAAUCAAAAGAAGCGAAAGGGGUGUGCAAAAGUGUGUGCCUGUGUGUGUGUCCGUGUGUGUGCGUUGAAUAAAAAAAAACAACAACGGAAACACCGAGAGUGCGUGUACAUUGCGGCAGCAUCAGAUUGCGGUUGUGUGAGAAGAGCGCGUUGGAAGAAGCGCAGUUGCUAAGCAUCCGUUUUUGCCCAUCGUGUCAGCAUUGUUUGUAGUGUAAAACUUCAAAAAGCAGUCAUGCGACGCAACAAUCGCACCCGUGCUGGUGCUGGAAUAGGCGGAGGAGGAGCAGUUGUGGCCGUCCCGAUCAAUCCUAGUGUCAGCGGCACCAGCGGCCGGCUUACGACGCGCGGACAGGACAAACGCCCACUGGAAGACUACCGAGAUCUCGAGAUGCUACAGCAACAGCCCAGCAGCAGCAGUAGCAGCAGUAACAGAAGCAGCAGCACCCGGAAGAUGCCCACACGGACGUCCUCGCGACCCGUCGGUACCAUCUACUCGAUAACGAACAUAGAAAGCGUGAAAAACAAAAUGUCAUCCAUACUGUCCGGGUAUGGCAAAAUGAAGGGACUGUCGGAAUCCAUCCAUCCGGCCGAGCUCAUCGAGCAGGUGGUGGCCGACAAGAUGCAGCAGGAUAAGUUGAAACAAAUGCAACGUCAAAGACACCUAACGGGUUCGGGUGGCGGUGGACCACAGUCAUCCGGUGGUGGCGGUAACAGUGCCACGUACCGGCAUCUGCUCAACACCGACCUGACCAAUGAUUCGGAUGGAACGAGUGGGGAUGAGGAGCAGGAGGAGGAGGAGGAGGAGGGCGAAGAGAAUGAAGGCGUGAACGAUAUCUGCCAGCAGGCUCACGAAGGGCUGCAGCUGAUCGACGAGGAGGAAAGUGAAAGGUCCGAAUCGGAAGUGAAUUCCUCGUCCGGUUGGUCCAAGCGUAAGAAGGGCGGAAGGACAACAGUGGAUUUGUCCGCCUGCGAUACCACAUCGUCCAUACACGGUGACGAUGGGGAGGCAGAGGAUGAAGAAGCGGAAGAUGAGGAGUACGAAACGCAGGAAGACCCCGAAGACAUGCAGGGCGAGGAAGAGUACGAGGAGCUGGAUGCCGAUCAGUACGUGGUGGAUGAUGAGCAGGAAGAGCUGGACGACGAGCAGGACCAGGAGGAUGAUGAGGACGUCGAGGAUGAUGUGGAAGAUGAACAUGAACCAGUCGAUACGACGGACGAGCUGCAGCAGCAGGACGACGGUGAAGACGGCGAGGAAGAAGACGAGGCUGAGGAUGAGGUGGAAGAGGAAGUGGACGAGGACGAUGACGAUGAUGACGUGCAGGAGGUGAUCGAUGUGGAGGAGCACGAUCAGAAGCGACAGCAGGAAAGCAGCGGCAAGCAGAAACAGACCAACGGGGACAGAACGUCGAAGGGUGGCCACAAGCGGACGGACAGUGUCAUCUACAAUGGCACGCAUACGGCGCCCCAGCUAUCGCAGGCGGAUGUGGACGAGCGGGAGAUGAUUAAGAUAUCGGCCAUCAAUACUAAAGUUCAACUUAACGACCAGGACAAAGUGAGUUUGGACGACUUCGAGAUGCUAAAAGUCCUUGGAACGGGAGCCUACGGGACGGUGUACUUGGUGCGCAAGCUGACCGGUGUGGACAAGAACAAAAUCUACGCCAUGAAAGUGCUGAAGAAGGGUAUCGUCAGCCUGAAGAAAAAGACCGCAGAACACACACGAACCGAACGACAGGUGCUUGAAGCGAUACAGGAAGCUCCGUUUCUGGUCACGAUGCACUACGCCUUCCAGACGGAAUCGAAGCUGUACCUCAUUCUGGACUAUGUGAUCGGUGGCGAACUGUUCACGCUGCUUUGCAAACGAUUGCUGUUUGAAGAAUCGGCCGUACAGAUCUACAUUGCCGAGAUCAUAGUUGCAAUUGAACAUCUGCACAAGCUCGGUAUCGUGUAUCGGGACAUCAAGCUGGAAAACAUUCUCGUCGACAUGGACGGCCAUAUUGUGCUGACCGACUUCGGGCUGUCCCGCGAGCUUGUCUACGAAAACGAGCGUGCCCACAGCUUCUGCGGCACGGUCGAGUACAUGGCGCCGGAAAUACUGAAACCAACGCAGCAGGGCCACGACACUGCCGUCGACUGGUGGUCGGUCGGUGUGCUAACGUUCGAGCUGCUUACCGGCGCGUCACCGUUCGCGGCCGAACCCAACGACAUUGCCCGCCGUAUCACGGAGACGGAAGCGAUCAUUCCGGAAAAUUUAUCCGCCGAAGCGACCGACUUUAUCCGCAAGCUGCUGGUGAAGGAUCCGAAGCGCAGGCUGGGCAGCGGCAAAUCGGAUGCGUCCGAGCUGAAGUCCCAUCCGUUCCUGCGCUCGAUCAACUGGUCCCGGUUGGUGCGGAAACAGAUACAGGCCCCGUUUCCACCGGUGGCCGAGAAUGAUCGCGAUACGCGCAACUUUAGCUCGGAGUUUACCAAGCUGGAUGUGGUGGAAAAUCCGUGCAACCCGCCAAAGAAUGCUGACCGGUUGUUUAGGGGUUACUCCUACGUUUCACCGAAGCUCCUUACCAAAAACGUCGCCGAUCGGAACAAGUUCAUCCCGAUCCACAAUAUGCGCCCGCAGGAGAACUACAUCAGACAAACGGCGUCGAAGCAAUCGCCCUUCUUCCGCAAGUACACCCUGACGAGCGAUUCAGCCAUCGGAGUCGGUUCGUACUCGACGUGCUUCAAGUGCCAGCGGUUACGCAGCAGCAGCUACUUCGCCGUUAAGAUUCUGUUCAAUCACCCACAUACGGCCGGGUUCGCCAAACACGAGGCGGAAGCAUUGCGUGAACUGCAAGGCCAUCCAAACGUGGUGCAGUUUGUGGAGAUGAUGGAAGACAAAGACUACAUAUAUCUCGUGCUCGAGCUGCUCGAUGGUGGUGAGCUGUUGCAGCGCAUCAAUCGACAACCGAGCCAGCAAACGGAGUCCCGCAUUCGGGGCUACUUUUCCCAGAUGGUAGAUGCGGUCGCCUUUAUCCAUCGGCAAGGCUACGCCCACCGCGACCUGAAGCCGGAAAACAUUAUCUUCGAGCGUGCGUCCAACGAUCGGUUACGGUUGAUCGAUUUCGGGUUUGCCCAGCGGCUGGACAGCAAUACCGGUGAAAGCAGGAUCCCGGCCGGCACGCUCGGCUAUACAGCGCCUGAAGUGAUCAGCAAUAUGCACACGGAUGGUACCACCACCACCACCACCAUCUCCAAUUCUUCGUACUCCCUUGAAACGACCGAUCUGUGGUCGCUCGGCGUCAUCCUCUACACGAUGCUGUGUGGUCAGGCACCGUUCACACCGCGUCAGUUCUUCGGCCACGACAAUCUCGCCUCGACCUCGAAGCAGAUGGAAAUCAUUACCGACAAAAUACGGCGCGGUUCGUUCGAUCUCAGCUCCAGCAUCUGGAUGGGUGUGAGCGAAAGUGCGAAGAAUCUGGUCCGUGCGCUGCUCACCGUCAACCCGGAGCAGCGCAUUACGAUGCAGGAGCUGCAGAGUCACGACUGGUUGCUGUGUGACGUGAGCAAGCGUCGGGGGCAGCAGUCCUCGCUGGCUGCGUACAGCCGUGGAUUGCCGAGCCAGGCGAAGGUACCGUUCGACAAGCUGCAGACAAACGUGCGCAACACGUACGAUGCAUUUAAGCUGGCGGAAGAGAAUGGUUUCCGGUUGCACAAGGAGGGCGCUUUUCGGCGAAGGAGCUUAGGCAGUGCAAUGCUACAGACGCAAACGAUGACGAUAACGACGGCGGCGACGACGACGACGACCCCGGUUCCACCUGCGCACCGGGAACGGAGAACGACGAACAUUGGAGCUCAUGCUGCCGGGCUGGUAGACAAGACUCAUUCGACAACCGUAGUGCCUAACCAUCAUAACGCUCUCAGCAGCGGCAGUAGUAGUGGUAGCAGUAGUAGUAAUAGCAAAACCAAACGAACACACCAACAGAAGAACGAUCUUCCGGUCUCGAGCACGAAAUCGAUCGAAUCGCAGUACAGCAGCUCGAUGGAGGAAAGCACAUCGAGCGGUAUUGGGCGCAGCAAAAGCAGCAAAAGCAGUCUGUCCCACUCUGGCAGCCCGAUGCGCGAUACGCGCCAAAUGUCCAACAGUUCCGUCGUGAUCGUGAUCGAUGAGGAGGAAGAUGAGGUGCACCGGGACGUGCUGCAGAACGGAUCGGGAUCGGAGCCGGCUGUGAAUGUAGCGGCCGCGAAAGACCCAGCGGAAGUUUCGAUUGCCGUCGAAGAUAUUUCGCUUGCGUCAUCGGAUAGCGGCACGAAGCAAAAGACGACCGAGGAGCCCGAAAGUGUGGUGGAAGAACAGACGGAUGAAAUUGUGGUCGAUGUCGAGGAGGAAGAGGAACCGGUUAAAGAGAAUCAGCCGGAAGAAGAAGAAGAAGAAGAAGAAACGCACGUGGAAACGGCGGCCGUGGUAUGUAGCAGAAAGUCGUCGGCCGAAAACAACAAUAAUGACGUGCCGACGAUCAAACCCCAGUCCCGCCCGGCGUUCGAAAAACCGACCAAGCAUGCUAGGAAGGAACGCGUGAAGCUACUUCCACCGCACGCAAUGCUUUCGGAAGUGCGGCAAAUUAUGAGCGAAGAGGACUUUUCCGACACGACAAAAGAAUUGCUCGGAGCUGCGAUGAACCUAGAGACUAGUCCACUGCGGGCCGAUAAGGAAAAUGAGCCCGCGCCGGUUGAAGCGACUAGCAUCAGCAGUAGCAGCAGCAGCAGUAGAAUUAGUAGGUAUGGUAGAGUUUGUAAGGCGGUUGAUGUGCCCGCACCACACCGGACUGCAAAGGUGACAAUUAAAAAGGAAAAGGAUAGUUCCGUCCCCGUCCAACCAGCACCAUCCGCGUCGUUACCCGCGAAAAACCUACUAUUCGCACCGAAGCUAAUGAACCGCGAGUUUGUAGAAUUCCGGGACGUUCAGUGUAAGCUGAUGCCGCGGGCCCUUUCCGCCCAAACGCGCGACGACGACGAUGACGGCAGCGAUACGGUGUACCUUGGUUGCGUGGACGACGCUGAACCGUACCGUGGGUUCGAUGAGGAGGAGUGUGAGCAGUUCGUCGGCUGCUCCGAGUACGAUCAGAUCAUACGCACCAAGCUGUCGAUGAUGCGGAUCAAGCAGCAGCCGGUCGGCGAGGGAUAUCCGUACAGUGUGCUGGGUGUGAUCGUGCCGCAACCACCGAGACGGAUCACCAAACGGCGCAUGGAAGUGGAUGCGAUCGGUGUCGAAGGGUUGGGUGUUGUUGCUACGGAUGUGGUCGUCUACGAACCGCGGCCGAAACGUUUGCGACAAAUAGAACGCGUCAACUAUUCACUGUCGAGUCGAAGAAACACGUACGUGCACGGACGGCAGUCGAUCGCCAUCAAGCGUGAGGUGUGCUGAACCCCCGGGCCCCUGGGUAAGCAUCGUACGCGUCGUGUUAAUAGGCGUAUGAUUAGUUUGUCUGUAUUAAACCAUCAGUACUGUGAAAGAGAGAGUGAGAGAGACUCCUUUUUCGAAGCUUAUUGAUACCUUUUUUUUCCCUUAACUAUCUUCUUAAGGGUUAUUUUCCAAAGUACUAUGAAGGUGAUCGUGGAAAGGCGUGAUUCAUUGCACCCAGAGAUAUGAGGUUGGAUUCUUUUAAGGGUCACACACACAUACAUAUGUUAAAACACAAACAGAACGGUUAUAGUUUAUCGUUUUCGAUUUUUUUUAACAUUAUCGAGCCUUAUUUUUUACACGUUAUAUAUGAAAAGAAGUAUCUUUAUUCGAUAUUCUUUGCUGCUGUAGUUUUCUAUGUGUUUAAAAACAGAUUCAUUGUAUUUUAAUCCCUUUUUUCAUACUUCUACGAGAGCUGUGUAUAUUCCUUUUUUUAAACGAUGGGAGUUUUGGGGUGGAUGUACUGUCUCCAAUGUACUGCCAAUGCAUUGGUAGAGAGCGAUGGACAACAUGGACCGCAUAAUGUAGGAAGGGGGGGUGGGGGGGGGGGUUGUGGCAGGAAUUUUGUUGUUGCUGUACAUACAAAAAAUAACAAAGAGAAAGUGCACUUACAAUGAAGCAAACAAACCGGUUGCUCUUCAUGUUCAGGAUGAAAGACAUAAAACGAAACCGUAACCGUGUUAGUAAGAGAAGAAUCUCAUCCAUCUCGGUGUGUGUGGUGCGUAUUGGGUUAAGCAGAUAAACAAAUCAAAGCUACACACACACAACUAGAAUAGGAAAACACAGUGAUUUAUGGAAAAGAAGAAGAAAAAAUAGUGUGAAAAUCUUCCAUAUCCUUCUAAAAAAAAGUACACACACUCUCACAUACUACUACGAUGGUACGACGAAUUUAAAAAGUGCGUUUUUCAACACACGCACACGCACACAAGCUAAUUUAUGCAAAACGAAAACCCGUACAUUAUUUGCAUAUCGAUUGUGGUGCAGACAAAAUCGUUUUGAAUUAGAAAUUGUAUAUAUAUAGAAAUUCUUGUGCAAAAAGAAUAUUCUUUAAAUCCGUACUAUUUUUCUUUCUUUAAGGACGCGCGAAAAUGUAGAUAAUGAUGUGUGUGUGUGCGUGUGAGGUGCAUAGGGAAAAGAAGACCAAAGUAGUAAAGCAAACAAGCCUUAAGGGAGGAAACCGGCAUAGAUACGAACUAUACCUGGCUCUUGCGGGGAACCAUAGCAACACAGGAAUAGAAAAGAAACAAAAAAGGAACAGUAAUUUAAGCAGCAUAGUUUAUGUGUAAGAAUCGAAAACCACAACGUGUAUAUCAAACGGUUUUGCUAAGCGAGUUUAACAAUGCAUGGGGGGGGGGGGCAGCUGUCUGGGGGAGAAGGAGUAGACGAGGCGUAGUUUUUAUUGUACGUAUCUAGGAUUUAAAUUAAAUCAACACAUAUAAGUACGGAUAGCAUUACGGACCGGAAACCGCACGAGCCGGAAGCCGGUCGCCGGUCGCUAAUUAAUGGUAAAUACCCGUAGCCGUUUUAUUAAGCAAACAAAGUGAAACAAAACAACAAAAAAACGGUAGCAAAUAAAUUGUAGCAGUAUGUUCCAUUAAUUUAAACUCUUACCACACACACAUACACAACAAUGCACAACGCGAUGUGGUGGAAAUUUUAUGAAGUAGGAUUACAGAAACAACACAGUAACGUACAUGUAAAUUUAAUAUGAAACCCAUCUAGGCAAGGAUGCGACCUCAAACAGGGGUGCCUGCCGGGUGAUGCUUCAUAUCAAAACCAAUAAAAGGAGGAGUAAAUGUCGUUUAAAGAUUGUGCCCGCGCGCGAUAUUUGUUUUUAUAAUUUAUAUCCUAGCCAGACACCAGACACACACACAACACGCUGAACUAGAGAAGUAUAAUAGUUAAGCAAAACAAUUAAGCAGCUAUGAUAUUCUCACAAUUUAUGGUUUUAUCGCUGUAGUUUCCGUUGCCUGGAGACCGACCUGUAGUAAAAAUGUACAGGAAGCCGUUUGCAACAAAAAAGAAGAAAAAAACAGGAAUAAAAGCUGGAAAUUCGCACCAGAGCAAGAGACUGUACGAAGAGGGAGGUGGUGGGAGGUGAAAUGACGAUAAGAAGAGAAAAAAGUUUAAGUAAAAUAUAUAUUAAAAAAUGCAAACACAUAGUUUGAUAAAUAGUCACACCACAAACAGACACACACAGAGCAGUGUAACGAAAUAGAGAGGUCGAGUGAACGAGAUAGAGUGUAGCAAACAAUUAACAAGGAGUGUGUUUUCCUCAUGUAACGUUACAUACAUUACUAGCUAAAAAAUAAUAAUAAUAACGUUUGCUUUUUUAUCAUUUUUUUUCGUAGCUUCUGUUGUUUGUUUGCUUUCAUUUUUUUUGUGUUCAAUUUUGUUCGUUUUCCUUUGAGCAUGCUGCUCGAUUGUUUAAGUAAUUAGUAAAUUCAAGCGCAGAGAGAAUAAGCGGAGAACAACACUUACUUGUAAGAAGAUGCUUCGUUUUGUUUCCUUCUCUUAGGUUGUAAGAGGGCCAAUCAUAUUGGUGUGUGUGUGUGUGUGAGUGUUUCAAAGGUUUUAAUUUAAUAAUAUCAUUCGUACGUUUGAAUUUGUAAACUCAACAACAACAACAAGCCAACCCAACCAACCAACGCGUUGGAUGGUUUCACACCACCGAUGAGCGUUUUGCUCAUCAAUGCCCUGGAACACAAAUUCAGACCAAUAUUUAGUAAAUAUUAUACACAAAUGUAUGGAGCAUACAGAAGAAAAAGGAAAAACAUAAGAGAAAAAAAAACCAUGGGAAUAGUUUGAAAACCUCACAACAACAUAUGGACAGAAUAAAUACAACAAAAAAUGAACGAAA
RNA transcript from Anopheles stephensi (Asian malaria mosquito), 8784 nucleotides. RefSeq lists it as uncharacterized. Lineage: Eukaryota; Metazoa; Arthropoda; Insecta; Diptera; Culicidae. The transcript has 9 exons. The record is from RefSeq and is a predicted model, not a curated record.